GACGAACGCUGGCGGCGUGCUUAACACAUGCAAGUCGAACGGAAAGGCCCUGCUUUUGUGGGGUGCUCGAGUGGCGAACGGGUGAGUAACACGUGAGUAACCUGCCCUUGACUUUGGGAUAACUUCAGGAAACUGGGGCUAAUACCGGAUAGGAGCUCCUGCUGCAUGGUGGGGGUUGGAAAGUUUCGGCGGCUGGGGAUGGACUCGCGGCUUAUCAGCUUGUUGGUGGGGUAGUGGCUUACCAAGGCUUUGACGGGUAGCCGGCCUGAGAGGGUGACCGGCCACAUUGGGACUGAGAUACGGCCCAGACUCCUACGGGAGGCAGCAGUGGGGAAUAUUGCACAAUGGGCGGAAGCCUGAUGCAGCAACGCCGCGUGCGGGAUGACGGCCUUCGGGUUGUAAACCGCUUUCGCCUGUGACGAAGCGUGAGUGACGGUAAUGGGUAAAGAAGCACCGGCUAACUACGUGCCAGCAGCCGCGGUGAUACGUAGGGUGCGAGCGUUGUCCGGAUUUAUUGGGCGUAAAGGGCUCGUAGGUGGUUGAUCGCGUCGGAAGUGUAAUCUUGGGGCUUAACCCUGAGCGUGCUUUCGAUACGGGUUGACUUGAGGAAGGUAGGGGAGAAUGGAAUUCCUGGUGGAGCGGUGGAAUGCGCAGAUAUCAGGAGGAACACCAGUGGCGAAGGCGGUUCUCUGGGCCUUUCCUGACGCUGAGGAGCGAAAGCGUGGGGAGCGAACAGGCUUAGAUACCCUGGUAGUCCACGCUGUAAACGGUGGGUACUAGGUGUGGGGUCCAUUCCACGGGUUCCGUGCCGUAGCUAACGCUUUAAGUACCCCGCCUGGGGAGUACGGCCGCAAGGCUAAAACUCAAAGGAAUUGACGGGGCCCCGCACAAGCGGCGGAGCAUGCGGAUUAAUUCGAUGCAACGCGUAGAACCUUACCUGGGUUUGACAUGGAUCGGGAGUGCUCAGAGAUGGGUGUGCCUCUUUUGGGGUCGGUUCACAGGUGGUGCAUGGCUGUCGUCAGCUCGUGUCGUGAGAUGUUGGGUUAAGUCCCGCAACGAGCGCAACCCUUGUUCACUGUUGCCAGCGCGUUAUGGUGGGGACUCAGUGGAGACCGCCGGGGUCAACUCGGAGGAAGGUGGGGAUGACGUCAAGUCAUCAUGCCCCUUAUGUCCAGGGCUUCACGCAUGCUACAAUGGCUGGUACAGAGAGUGGCGAGCCUGUGAGGGUGAGCGAAUCUCGGAAAGCCGGUCUCAGUUCGGAUUGGGGUCUGCAACUCGACCUCAUGAAGUCGGAGUCGCUAGUAAUCGCAGAUCAGCAACGCUGCGGUGAAUACGUUCCCGGG
This 1343-nucleotide ribosomal RNA is filed under the name uncultured bacterium. Its description in RNAcentral is "16S ribosomal RNA". It matches the Rfam family "Bacterial small subunit ribosomal RNA", at positions 28 to 1378 of the family's 1533-position model. The record is from RNAcentral.